ACUUCUAAUACAUAUCUUCUUUGUGUUAUACCUUUGUAAUCUCUCUCUUUUUAGUUUCUAUUUUUGGAUUACUUCUUAUAGAUGUGUGUUUGUUGAGUAUGUAUUUCUUCUUCUAAUUGUAUUUUCUUACUUUUUUGUUAUUAGGAUCCGAAGCGGUUUAGAUGCCGUGUACAUGAAUAUGUACCCCACGAUCCUUUAAUAGAA
This 204-nucleotide long non-coding RNA is filed under the name Lathyrus oleraceus (garden pea). RNAcentral describes it as "Pisum sativum (pea) long non-coding RNA (PSAT_LNC003938)". Lineage: Eukaryota; Viridiplantae; Streptophyta; Magnoliopsida; Fabales; Fabaceae. The record is from RNAcentral.